This is a long non-coding RNA of Callithrix jacchus (white-tufted-ear marmoset), 272 nucleotides long. RefSeq lists it as uncharacterized. NCBI's taxonomy places the organism in Eukaryota, Metazoa, Chordata, Mammalia, Primates, Cebidae. The record is from RefSeq and is a predicted model, not a curated record.
AUGGAGAACUGGACAUGGAUGAAUCUGGAGAACAUCAUCCUCAGCAAACUGACACAAGAACAGAAAACGAAACACCGCAUAUUCUCACUCAUAGGAGUGGAAGAGCAUGUGGCCUUCACCAGAUGCAGAUGCCAGCACCAUGCUUCUUGUACAGCCUGCAGAACCAUGAGCAAGUUUGUACCAGAGAAAGCUAGCAGCCAUGUCAUGAGGAUACUCAAGCAGCUCCUUGUGGUUCAUGUGACAAGGAAGCAGGGCCUCCUGCCAACAGCCAG